GUUUUGGUGUUGUGUUUCAUGGAGUGUUCAGACAAUCGUUUUUGAUUCGCAGUUUGAAGGUCGAGAUCGCUAGGAAGCUAAAGGAUUUGGAUCAAUGUCUGUCACCUCCAUCUACCACAACUACAAAACCUACAACAACAACGACCCCUUUACAAGAUUGUCCCGACGUAAUUGAAAAUUAUUGCACUUCACGUGAGACCUGCGAAACCAGACGUGAAGAAAUUCUGGACCAGUAUAGCUGCCCUAUACAGGGUGAUGUGUGUUGUAGGCUCGCAACCUAAUAAUCGAUCGACGACAUGAUAAUCGAUCGCCCAAACUUAAAGAUGUCAACUCGUUAAAUAAAUAAAGUGUCAUGA
Molecule: long non-coding RNA, 356 nt
Organism: Gigantopelta aegis
Lineage: Eukaryota; Metazoa; Mollusca; Gastropoda; Neomphalida; Peltospiridae
Exons: 4
Source: RefSeq, a predicted model, not a curated record